UCGUGACCUCUUAUCCUACAUAUAUUGAAGACAAACACCGCACUGCUUAGUGCUUACGAGUUACGACUUCGGCCAACCACGUUCCACCAAGCCAAUCAAAAGUACAUGCAUCUCAAGCCUUAAAAUGUAUGAUUCAGUUAUAGUAUAUAAGGCUUUAAAUGGUGACUGCGUUUUGCGGUGCGGGAGAAGUGCGAUGCGGUUCAAAUAAUAACAAAAAUACAUAAAUAUAUAUGUAUAUGUAGAGAUUUUGAUACUGUUACAACACUGUUGCGAUACGGUUUUGGUCACCAUUCACAGCCUAAAUUUCAAUAUCUAGAUAAUUUAAGAACACAAAAAAUUAUU
Molecule: small RNA, 342 nt
Filed under: Arabidopsis thaliana (thale cress)
Lineage: Eukaryota; Viridiplantae; Streptophyta; Magnoliopsida; Brassicales; Brassicaceae
Description: ATSL105940
Source: RNAcentral